RNAcentral lists this ribosomal RNA (502 nucleotides) under uncultured bacterium. RNAcentral describes it as "bacterial SSU rRNA". It matches the Rfam family "Bacterial small subunit ribosomal RNA", at positions 25 to 518 of the family's 1533-position model. The record is from RNAcentral.
CAGGAUGAACGCUAGCGACAGGCUUAACACAUGCAAGUCGAGGGGCAGCAUAAAAGUAGCAAUACUUUGGUGGCGACCGGCGCACGGGUGAGUAACGCGUAUGCAACCUACCUAUCAGAGGGGAAUAACCGGCGAAAGUCGGACUAAUACCGCAUAAAACAGGGGCACCGCAUGGUGAUAUUUGUUAAAGAGAUUCGCUGAUAGAUGGGCAUGCGUUCCAUUAGGUAGUUGGUGAGGUAACGGCUCACCAAGCCGACGAUGGAUAGGGGAACUGAGAGGUUGGUCCCCCACACUGGUACUGAGACACGGACCAGACUCCUACGGGAGGCAGCAGUGAGGAAUAUUGGUCAAUGGGGCGGGAGCCUGAACCAGCCAAGUCCGCGUGAAGGAAGAAGGAUCUAUGGUUCGUAAACUUCUUUUGCAGGGGAAUAAAGUGCAGGACGUGUCCUGUUUUGUAUGUACCCUGAGAAUAAGGAUCGGCUAACUCCGUGCCAGCCGCGGC